CCUACGGGCGGCAGCAGUGAGGAAUAUUGGUCAAUGGCCGGAAGGCUGAACCAGCCAUGCCGCGUGAAGGUCAGUGCCCUAUGGGCGUUAAACUUCUUUUGUGCGGGAGCAAUAAUGGUCACGUGUGGCCAGACGAGAGUACCGUACGAAUAAGCAUCGGCUAACUCCGUGCCAGCAGCCGCGGUAAUACGGGGGAUGCAAGCGUUAUCCGGAUUUAUUGGGUUUAAAGGGUGCGUAGGCUGUGAGGUAAGUCAUCGUGGAAAUGCCCCCGCUCAACGGGGUGAAGUGCCAUUGAUACUGCCUUGCUGGAAUGCGGAUGCCGUGGGAGGAAUGUGUGGUGUAGCGGUGAAAUGCAUAGAUAUCACACAGAACACCGAUUGCGAAGGCAUCUCACGAAUCCGCGAUUGACGCUGAUGCACGAAAGCGUGGGUAUCAAACAGGAUUAGAUACCCCUGUAGUC
This 460-nucleotide ribosomal RNA is filed under the name uncultured bacterium. RNAcentral's name for it is "partial 16S ribosomal RNA". It matches the Rfam family "Bacterial small subunit ribosomal RNA", at positions 338 to 795 of the family's 1533-position model. The record is from RNAcentral.